UCCCCACUUGCGCCCCCUCGCUCUCUCUCUUGCCCACGCACUCGUCACCUCCUCCAGAUCCAUCGCCGAGCACGGUCGUUGCCGCUCGCCUCACUCUGCCAUGGCCAGCAGGCACAUCUCGCCUCGCCGUUGCGUCCACAAAGACCGCCGUCGUCCGCUGCGUCUACUAUGGAGACGAAACGAGCCGGAACCCCUUCCAUCGUUGAGCCGGCCCUCUGCUUCCACCUCCGGCCACCGAAGGCCGCCGCCGUCGUUCUGCUGCACCGAGCCUCCCCCGAGCCCGCUCAUGCACAUCUGCAGGUCCGCGGUGAGCAACAACGUCGAUCCCCCUUCUUCCCUGUCGUUUACCGUGCCUGUAGACCUCGUUGCCGUCAUGGUCGAACCUGCAACCGCCGACGAGCUUGCCGUCGUGGCCUCAGCCGCGGUCGCGUGCGCACGAGCUCACUGUCGAGCUCCUGCGAUUCCCAAGGAGCCCGACGUGCGCACGCACGCAGCCCCAUGAACCCCCCUUGCCCCCUGCGCUCGACCUCACCGAGCUCCAGCUUCGGCCGCCCCGGCCCCGUUCUGCGCGCUCACGCGUACGCCGUGCAGCGCCGCGCCCGCCGCCCAGCUCGUGUGCAUGCAGUUGCUGCUCUACUGAAUGUACUGCUGCUGCUGAAUGUGACUGUAGCUAUAUGGCUAGCUUUAGGAAUUUUACACUGACUAACCUCCUAGACAGCCUCUAAACUGCUGUUAAUUAACUGUUGACAAGACUAAAAUAAAUAUAGGUAGAAAGUACAGUUAACAAACUUCAUUUUACCCCACUAGACCAAAUCCAUUUGAUGUGUGGUUUAAAUGCUAUGAAAAUCACAAAUUGCUACCUUCGGUCAAUAGAGAACAUAAUUAACACCUAGCAUAGUGUGCUGCGUGUCGUGUGUGGUCUGUGCGUGUGUGCACAACCAGCCUCACGGCUGUGCCACCAGGCCGGCCCUUGUUUAGUUUAGUUGGUAAUACUUUAGUGCUCAAUUAGUAUAACAACAAAUGACAAGUGGUCCCCUCUGUUUAUUAGCUUUAGUUAGUUGUUCUAAAAAGGCUAAGUCUAUGAUAAAUGGGCCCCGCUGUUAAUUAAGCAAGGUUUCCUAAAACUACUAAACUUAGAGUCAAUGACAUGCGGGCCCACUUCUACUAUUCAUCGGUUGACUAGUCUCUGUUGACCUGGUCAACUGGGCCCUCUGGCCCCAUCUGUUAGCCACAUAUGCACAAUGUUGGGUACACUUCUGUGUACCCGUAGCAUUUACUGUAUAUUUUCAAAAUAAUAAUAAUUUUAAAAAUCAUUUAAAACUUUGAAAUUCAAUUUAAGAUAAUCCGUAAAUCGGAUGAAAAAGUUUUACACAUGAAAGUUGCUCAGAACGACGAGACGAAUCCGAGUACACUCUCCGUUCAUCUGUCACGUGCCCCUAUCAUAGAGAACAUGCAACUUUCCCCCUCCGUUUCAUCUGUCCGAAAAAUGCAAACUUCGGGAAAACAUUCCCGGAUGUUAUCCCCCUUCGCCGGUAACGUGUAGCACCACGUUAGAACGCAUCUAGCUCCGCCUGUUGUCCUGUUAUGCUCUUGCUUGCUAUGUAUUUACUGUUUCUCCCCCCUCUUCUCCCCGGUAGACCCUGAGACUGCCGCUGAUGCCGCUAUGUUCGAGUACAUCGACGACGACCCCUCCUUGCCAGAGCAACCAGGCAAGCCCCCCCUUUGAUCAUCCCGUUAUCGCCCAUUCCAUUCUCUCAUGCUUGCAUUAGAUUUUGCUAUUGUUAUUGUUUGCUCCUAUUCUGAUGCAUAGCCUCCUUUUUUAACCUGCUUAUUGUUACCUUACCGGCUUAUCCUAAACUGCUUAGUAUAGGUUGGUUAGUGAUCCAUCAGUGACCCCCACCUUGUCCUUGUUGCCCCUGCUUCAUCAUUGGAGACCCGAUCAACGGGAUCAAAGACCAGGCCCCGGCACCGCACAUCACUUUCCCCUUAGUUGCUCGACACUACUGGGAUACUAUCGAGUGCCGAGGGUGAGACCUCUACAACACUUCUGAUGUUAACCCUGUAGUGUAGCUAUUCGGUCGUGGUCAUCGAGGGUGAUUUCCUCUUUAACCACUUCCGAUACGACUCUGUCGUGCAACCCCUCAAGUGUGAACCUCGAGGGUGAUUCCUCUACGUUCACCUUGAUGAUUACAUUGAGUGGAACCCACCGAGGGUGAUUCCUUGGGUUUUCCUCUUGAUGUUUGGACACACGGAUACUUGGACUUUACAACUGUUACUUGGAAAGAGAUGUGGAGACGGGUUGACCUGGAAGGUGCCCGUGAGAUAAUUACGAGGCGUGGCCGGGCAUUCUUAGCCCUUGCCGCAAGUCCUCGAGACGGGGCAACGGGGUCACCUCUUUCGUGAGUCUCUGCUUGUUACCGCGCGUUCCUAAUCCACUACGAUUUGGAUAUUUGAUCCGAGGGGCCUCUGGCCUGAUAGCACUAACCAUCACGUGGGCAUAGUAUGGGCGUUCUGCGUCGUAUACAUCAGCCAAAGCUUAAUAGACGUCAGCGACUGAGUGGCGCGCGCCGGGUUGGACUGCGCAAGCGCCUGCCUUGUUGAAGGAGGUAGCUAGGUCUGCUCACCGGCCGCGUACGCAACGUGCAGGAGUUUCCGGGGAGAUGGCCCAUGACCCCUGGGGGCAUAGGUUUAGUCCGGCGUGCUGACCUCUCUGUUAAGUCUAGGUCGGGUUGCGGCGUAUUGUUUGGCCGAGGCCGGGCAUGACCCUGGAAAGUGUGUUCGGCCGGAGUCAAUCGAGCGUGGUGGGUAAGUUGGUGCACCCCUGCAGGGAAGAACUAAUCUAUGCAUAGCCUGUCCUACGGUAACGGACACUUGGAGUUGUAUCCCGAUCGAUACAACUAGAACUGGAUACUUGUGAUGAGAACUGGAUGGUGAUGAGGAUUUGAUUGAGAUGAUAAUUGGAUAGUAUGGCUCUGGGAUUGCUUUCUCGCAGGGAGUCGAGAAAGGAUCUCUGGCCGAGGUUGAUAACACUACUACUACUUUACCUUAUGCUACUCUACUCCCUCUUGUUUGCUGCAAGAUGGUGGUUUCCAGAAGAUGCUAGUCUUCGAUAGGACUAGACCUUCUCUCUAUUCUGGCAUUUCUGCAGCCCAGUCCACAUAUACAGCCUUCCUUUGAUAAUGUUGCAUAUGUAGUGUAGAUCCUUGCUUGCGAGUACUUUGGAUGAGUACUCACGGUUGCUUUGCUCCCCCUUUUCCCCCUUCUUUCUUCUUUCUGGUUGUUGCAACCAGAUGGUGGAGUUCAGGAGCCAGAUGCCACCUUUGACGACGGCUGCUACCCCGAGGGUGCCUACUACCACGUGACGGACGCCGACGACCAAGAGUAGUUAGGAGGCUCCCAGGCAGGAGGCCUUGCC
This 3415-nucleotide long non-coding RNA is filed under the name Triticum aestivum (bread wheat). Its description in RNAcentral is "long non-coding RNA (TAES_LNC011922)". The record is from RNAcentral. Lineage: Eukaryota; Viridiplantae; Streptophyta; Magnoliopsida; Poales; Poaceae.